This 442-nucleotide ribosomal RNA is filed under the name uncultured bacterium. RNAcentral's name for it is "partial 16S ribosomal RNA". It matches the Rfam family "Bacterial small subunit ribosomal RNA", at positions 338 to 795 of the family's 1533-position model. The record is from RNAcentral.
CCUACGGGGCGCAGCAGUGGGGAAUAUUGGGCAAUGGGCGCAAGCCUGACCCAGCAACGCCGCGUGAAGGAAGAAGGCUUUCGGGUUGUAAACUUCUUUUGUCAGGGAAGAGUAGAAGACGGUACCUGACGAAUAAGCCACGGCUAACUACGUGCCAGCAGCCGCGGUAAUACGUAGGUGGCAAGCGUUGUCCGGAUUUACUGGGUGUAAAGGGCGUGUAGCCGGGUUGACAAGUCAGAUGUGAAAUCCUGCGGCUUAACCGCAGAACUGCAUUGGAAACUGUUGAUCUUGAGUACUGGAGAGGCAGACGGAAUUACUAGUGUAGCGGUGAAAUGCGUAGAUAUUAGGAGGAACACCAGUGGCGAAGGCGGUCUGCUGGACAGCAACUGACGGUGAGGCGCGAAAGCGUGGGGAGCAAACAGGAUUAGAUACCCGAGUAGUC